GCAGCAAGUAAUGGCACACACAGAAUGAAGUACCAUUCUACAAGUGUCAGGAUGUCCCACUUUCGUAUUGUGCGAAAGUGCUGGCAGAAAAUGAGAGCAUCUACAUCAAAUCUCCACAACUGCAUCAGGGAGUAAAAGAUACUGUGAAUUCCACCAUUAAGCACCUUCAAAACAGAUUUGGUAGCCUUUUAGGCACAGUGAGAAGCAUGCAUGAAACACCUACUGCCAAGCACCUACAGCAGUGAAAUGCUUCAACAUCUUUAAUCAGGACUCCUGGCCAACUGAGAAAGAGAAACUCUUGGACUACGGUGCAGAAGAGCUUGAUUUUCUGCUAAAGCAUUUCUCUCCUGUCCUAGAAAGGAAUGGAUGUGAACAAGAUCUUGCUAAAGAGGAGUUUCAGGCACUGAAAACAAUGAUCACAGUCUCUUUCAUGGAUAAGAGCUACCUCGGACUGUGGGACAUUAUGUUGUCUAAGGAACCAUACUGCUCUGACU
Long non-coding RNA from Sinocyclocheilus grahami, 494 nucleotides. RefSeq lists it as uncharacterized. The record is from RefSeq and is a predicted model, not a curated record. The transcript is spliced from 4 exons. NCBI's taxonomy places the organism in Eukaryota, Metazoa, Chordata, Actinopteri, Cypriniformes, Cyprinidae.